This 569-nucleotide ribosomal RNA is filed under the name uncultured bacterium. RNAcentral's name for it is "partial 16S ribosomal RNA". It matches the Rfam family "Bacterial small subunit ribosomal RNA", at positions 355 to 914 of the family's 1533-position model. The record is from RNAcentral.
UGGGGAAUUUUGGACAAUGGGGGGCAACCCUGAUCCAGCCAUCCCGCGUGUGCGAUGAAGGCCUUCGGGUUGUAAAGCACUUUUAUCAGGAGCGAAACGCUGUCGGCUAAUACCCGGCGGAACUGACGGUACCUGAGGAAUAAGCACCGGCUAACUUCGUGCCAGCAGCCGCGGUAAUACGAAGGGUGCAAGCGUUAAUCGGAAUUACUGGGCGUAAAGCGUGCGUAGGCGGUUUCUUAAGUCUGCUGUGAAAUCCCCGGGCUCAACCUGGGAAUGGCAGUGGAUACUGGGAGGCUAGAGUGUGUCAGAGGGUGGUGGAAUUCCCGGUGUAGCGGUGAAAUGCGUAGAGAUCGGGAGGAACAUCAGUGGCGAAGGCGGCCACCUGGGACAACACUGACGCUGAGGCACGAAAGCGUGGGGAGCAAACAGGAUUAGAUACCCUGGUAGUCCACGCCCUAAACGAUGCGAACUGGAUGUUGGUCUCAACUCGGAGAUCAGUGUCGAAGCUAACGCGUUAAGUUCGCCGCCUGGGGAGUACGGUCGCAAGACUGAAACUCAAAGGAAUUGAC